UUAUAUGGAGGGUUUGAUCCUGGCUCAGGGUGAACGCUGGCGGCGUGCCUAACACAUGCAAGUCGAGCGGGGGAAACUCCCUUCGGGGAGGAGUACCCAGCGGCGGACGGGUGAGUAACACGUGGGUAACCUGCCCUCCGGAGGGGGAUAACCAGGGGAAACCCUGGCUAAUACCCCAUACGCUCCAUCAACGCAAGUUGGUGGAGGAAAGGGGCGCUUGCCCCGCCGGAGGAGGGGCCC
RNAcentral lists this ribosomal RNA (240 nucleotides) under Thermotoga sp. RNAcentral's name for it is "partial 16S ribosomal RNA". It matches the Rfam family "Bacterial small subunit ribosomal RNA", at positions 1 to 232 of the family's 1533-position model. The record is from RNAcentral. Lineage: Bacteria; Thermotogati; Thermotogota; Thermotogae; Thermotogales; Thermotogaceae.